This 557-nucleotide ribosomal RNA is filed under the name uncultured Rhizobium sp. RNAcentral describes it as "bacterial SSU rRNA". It matches the Rfam family "Bacterial small subunit ribosomal RNA", at positions 102 to 694 of the family's 1533-position model. Lineage: Bacteria; Pseudomonadati; Pseudomonadota; Alphaproteobacteria; Hyphomicrobiales; Rhizobiaceae. The record is from RNAcentral.
ACGGGUGAGUAACGCGUGGGAAUCUACCGUGCCCUGCGGAAUAGCUCCGGGAAACUGGAAUUAAUACCGCAUACGCCCUACGGGGGAAAGAUUUAUCGGGGUAUGAUGAGCCCGCGUUGGAUUAGCUAGUUGGUGGGGUAAAGGCCUACCAAGGCGACGAUCCAUAGCUGGUCUGGGAGGAUGAUCAGCCACAUUGGGACUGAGACACGGCCCAAACUCCUACGGGAGGCAGCAGUGGGGAAUAUUGGACAAUGGGCGCAAGCCUGAUCCAGCCAUGCCGCGUGAGUGAUGAAGGCCUUAGGGUUGUAAAGCUCUUUCACCGGAGAAGAUAAUGACGGUAUCCGGAGAAGAAGCCCCGGCUAACUUCGUGCCAGCAGCCGCGGUAAUACGAAGGGGGCUAGCGUUGUUCGGAAUUACUGGGCGUAAAGCGCACGUAGGCGGAUAUUUAAGUCAGGGGUGAAAUCCCAGAGCUCAACUCUGGAACUGCCUUUGAUACUGGGUAUCUUGAGUAUGGAAGAGGUAAGUGGAAUUCCGAGUGUAGAGGUGAAAUUCGUAGG